Molecule: unclassified non-coding RNA, 273 nt
Filed under: Hevea brasiliensis (rubber tree)
Lineage: Eukaryota; Viridiplantae; Streptophyta; Magnoliopsida; Malpighiales; Euphorbiaceae
Source: RNAcentral
AGAAGAUUCAUUCAGCAAACUUCAAGCCAAAAUAUGAUCAAACGAAACCAGCAAACGAGAAAGCAGACAACUUGAUGGCACAUUUUCCUGCUUAUGAAACCAGAUCAAAUUUGUGUUGAACACACAAUUUAUCAUGAUAAAAAGAAAAUGGGAUUCAUUGCCAGUAUAUCCCAGCUAAACAAAAUUUAAGUAUGGAAAGCAAAUUGAUUAUAAUUUCCAUAGAUUUGAAGAAUCAAAUGCCCCAAUACGAAAGUGUGAUAAGUUAGCAAGGGA